GAGAGAGAGAGAGAGAGAGAGAGAGAGAGAGAGAGAUCUUGACUAUGCGGUUCAGUUCUGGUCACCUGACUAUAGAAUGGAUAUCAGAAUGUUAGAAUCGGUGCAGAGAGAGAGAGAGAGAGAGAGAGAAUCUUGACUAUGCGGUUCAGUUCUGGUCACCCUACUAUAGAAUGGAUAUCAAAAUGUAAGAAUCGGUGCAGAGGAGGAAGACUAAGAUGAUUCAGGGGUUGAGAAACUUGCCAUACGAGGAAAGACUCAAACAGUUAAACUUACAUUCUCUAGAAAGGUGAAGGGUGCGUGGAGACAUGAUCGAGGUUUAUAAAUGGAUGAAGGGCUUUAAUAAGGGAGACAUUCAUAAGGUUUUGUUGGUAAGAGAACCGGGUAGGACACGAAGUAAUGGGUUUAAACUGGAUACAUUCAGAUUCAACAGGGUCAUAGGAAAGAAUUGGUUUAGGCCUACUAACAGAGUGGUGGAUGAGUGAAAUAGGCUUAGCAGUCAUGUGGUGAGUGCCAAUACAAUUAUCACAAUCAAAAAUAGAUUAGAUAACUUCAUGGACAGCGAUAUUAGGUGGGGCAGAUACACGGGAGCUUAGGUUCAAAGGAGCUGCCUUGUACAGACCUACCGACCUCUUUAAUUAAGGGAUUGAAUGACCAUAUUCUCAAACGCUUCGCCGCUCACACACUCACAUUCGUCAGGGUUUUGGAAGGGGUAUUGGGCAUUUCCAGAGCUACAUUCAUGACCCUGGUGGUAGUUUGACCCCUCUGCUGUACCUUGGGGCCAGUUUCACAGUUCAACACAUGCAGUUAUUGUGAGCGCCCUAAACAAACUAUAUAUUCACCACAAAGAUUCGCUAUUUCUACUCAAUCCCAGAUACUAAAGAGAUUUCUAGUGUGGUUUUCUAAAGUUUCCCUCUUUUUAUAUCAACACCAAACACUAUACAAGGCGUUUUCUAAAGGUUAAAGAUGGGGUCAGUCGAGUUCCAAUGAGUGUUUCUUCAGGUUCACGGUACAGAAGAAGGGUCAAACUACCACCAGGGUCAUAAAACUACUCCUGGAAAUGCCUACAACUCCUACGAAAGCCUUGUCAAAUAGGUGUUCUUAGCUUCACGGUACAGAGGAAGGGUCACACUACCAUCAGGGUCAUAAAACUACUCCUGGAAAUGCCCACAACUCCUACGAAAGCCUUGUCAAAUAUGUGUUCUUGGGCGGCGAAAUGUCUUAUACUAUCGUUUCUCACAUUAACAAUUUCUAAAGGUCAAAGAUGGGGUCAGUCGAGUUCCAAUGAGUGUUUCCUUAGGUUCACGGUACAGAGGAAGGGUCAAACUAACACCAGGGUCAUAAAACUGCACCUGGAAAUGCCCACAACUCCUACGAAAGCCUUGUCAAAUAGGUGUUCUUGGGCGGCGAAAUGUCUUAUAAUAUACUAUCGUUUCUCACAUUAACAAUUUCUAAAGGUCAAAGAUGGGGUCAGUCGGGUUCCAAUGAGUGCUUCCUUAGGUUCACGGUACAGAGGAAGGGUCAAACUAACACCAGGGUCAUAAAACUGCACCUGGAAAUGCCCACAACUCCUACGAAAGCCUUGUCAAAUAGGUGUUCUUGGGCUGCGAAAUGUCUUGUACUAUCGUUUCUCACGUUAACAAUUUCUAAAGGUCAAAGAUGGGGUCAGUCGAGUUCCAUUGAGUGCUUCCUUAGGUUCACGGUACAGAGGAAGGGUCAAACUAACACCAGGGUCAUAAAACUACUCCUGGAAAUGCCCCAAACUCCUUCAAAAGCCUUGUCGUGUUGGAUCGGACUGUGAAAUCGGCUUUUAAACGUGAAAAACAACCAUGGAAACCCGAUUUUAAACUGUUCUCAAGGGGGGCACCUGUAUCUCCGCCCCCUCCCCCCCCCCUCACCUGGCGGCCACGACCUCUCACCUACCCCCCUUCCU
Long non-coding RNA from Eriocheir sinensis (Chinese mitten crab), 1930 nucleotides. RefSeq lists it as uncharacterized. NCBI's taxonomy places the organism in Eukaryota, Metazoa, Arthropoda, Malacostraca, Decapoda, Varunidae. The transcript has 5 exons. The record is from RefSeq and is a predicted model, not a curated record.